Molecule: transfer RNA, 68 nt
Filed under: Ictidomys tridecemlineatus (thirteen-lined ground squirrel)
Lineage: Eukaryota; Metazoa; Chordata; Mammalia; Rodentia; Sciuridae
Description: Spermophilus tridecemlineatus (thirteen-lined ground squirrel) tRNA
Rfam family: tRNA
About the family: Transfer RNA (tRNA) molecules are approximately 80 nucleotides in length. Their secondary structure includes four short double-helical elements and three loops (D, anti-codon, and T loops). Further hydrogen bonds mediate the characteristic L-shaped molecular structure. tRNAs have two regions of fundamental functional importance: the anti-codon, which is responsible for specific mRNA codon recognition, and the 3' end, to which the tRNAs corresponding amino acid is attached (by aminoacyl-tRNA synthetases). tRNAs cope with the degeneracy of the genetic code in two manners: having more than one tRNA (with a specific anti-codon) for a particular amino acid; and 'wobble' base-pairing, i.e. permitting non-standard base-pairing at the 3rd anti-codon position.
Source: Rfam by way of RNAcentral
GUGGUGGCUCAAUGGUAGAGCACUUACCUAGCAUGUGUGAGGCACUGGGUUCGAUUCUCAGCAUUACA